RNAcentral lists this transfer RNA (74 nucleotides) under Nitzschia sp. NIES-3576. RNAcentral's name for it is "tRNA-Pro". It matches the Rfam family "tRNA". From Rfam's summary of the family: Transfer RNA (tRNA) molecules are approximately 80 nucleotides in length. Lineage: Eukaryota; Bacillariophyta; Bacillariophyceae; Bacillariales; Bacillariaceae. The record is from RNAcentral.
CGGAAUAUAGCUCAGUUUGGUAGAGCUCCUGCUUUGGGAGCAGGUUGUCAUAGGUUCAAUUCCUGUUAUUCCGA